Molecule: long non-coding RNA, 1263 nt
Filed under: Sus scrofa (pig)
Lineage: Eukaryota; Metazoa; Chordata; Mammalia; Artiodactyla; Suidae
Description: lncRNA (ENSSSCG00070000099.1)
Source: RNAcentral
AUGGGGCCCCCUCAGGCCCCGCAGGAGAUUUUCGGCCUCACCACCACGACCUUUAGAGACGUGGAUGAGGCUCAGAGAGGGCGAGAAGCUUGCCCAAGGCUGCACAGCCAGAGACGGGUUCUAAAUGAAACUGACGCUGCCUGCGGAUGCGACUUCCUCUUCCUACAGAGAGCUCUGAGCCCUCAGGCACUACGGAGCAAGCUCGUGGUCGCCGGGAGGGGGUACUCCUGCCGGUGUUUACUGCCCCAGCCGGGGACACGCGGCGGCGCUAGCCCGCAUGACUGGUCCGCUCGUCCCAAGAGGAGGCAGAGCGAAGACUCGAGGCGGUGCCCGUUAGGGACGCGCUGCCCGGGGCUUAUGGGCUUUUUCUUGGGGACUGUACCCGCCGGGCUGGGGAGCGGAAAGGCUCGGGGAUUUUGCACACUGCAAGGAACUGUUGGGUUUAAACUAAAAAUACCCGCCCGCCCGCAGCUGUCACUCCAGGGCCCCCGCCCCCGGCGCGCCUCCCCAGGUCCCCUUGACUUUCGGCGACUCCGAUCCCCAGGGGACGUGCCAGGGCUGGGCGGGGGACUGAGGACCCGACCCUCCCAGCCCCCGGCCCGGCCACCCAGCCCCGGCACCCAGCCCCGAGCCACUUACCCGGCCGGGAGCGUGCGGGAGCGCGGCGCCGCGGGCAGUGCUGGCCGAGCCGCCCUCCUCCUCCCUGCGUCCCGGGCGGCUCCGGAGCGGGGCGGGGCCGGGGCGGGGCCCGGACACUCGCCCCCGCCCCGCCCAGUCCCCUCCGGACCCGCCGCGGGAGCCGCCCCGGGCCCCGCCACCUCGGCGGGUGGGAGAAGGACGAUCCUGGCUCUGCCCUCUUGGCAAAGGGCCGAGGAGCCCGGCCUCAGCCCGGUGGGCACCCCAUCGCGGACCCCCUCCCCCGGGGCAGGGGGGGAGCGCUGUCGUGGGGGCUCCGCACCCUCACCCCUGUCACCCCUGGCCCCGGGCCCACAACUGCCCUCUCCGCUCAGUAGCUUCCCCGAGCCUCGGCACCCCCCCCCGCGCCUGCCUCGGCCCGGGUCUCAUCCUCGGGGAUGGCACGGAGCUGCCUCUACUCAGGGGGAAGUUGGAUCUGGGGAGUUCCUCUGUGUGUCCCGCCUUGGGGAGGGGGCUAGGGGCCUGGAGGGUCUUGCCCUCUCAGAGCCCAAGUGGGGACAAAAGAAGGGGCACCCUUCCCGGAGGCGCGAAAUCCAAGGAGGAAGUGACACCUAUCAGCCAGCCUGA